Molecule: ribosomal RNA, 497 nt
Filed under: uncultured bacterium
Lineage: Bacteria
Description: partial 16S ribosomal RNA
Rfam family: Bacterial small subunit ribosomal RNA
Source: RNAcentral
GACGAACGCUGGCGGCGUGCCUAAUACAUGCAAGUUGAGCGCUGAAAGUUGGUACUUGUACCAACUGGAUGAGCAGCGAACGGGUGAGUAACGCGUGGGGAAUCUGCCUUUGAGCGGGGGACAACAUUUGGAAACGAAUGCUAAUACCGCAUAAAAACUUUAAACACAAGUUUUAAGUUUGAAAGAUGCAAUUGCAUCACUCAAAGAUGAUCCCGCGUUGUAUUAGCUAGUUGGUGAGGUAAAGGCUCACCAAGGCGAUGAUACAUAGCCGACCUGAGAGGGUGAUCGGCCACAUUGGGACUGAGACACGGCCCAAACUCCUACGGGAGGCAGCAGUAGGGAAUCUUCGGCAAUGGACGAAAGUCUGACCGAGCAACGCCGCGUGAGUGAAGAAGGUUUUCGGAUCGUAAAACUCUGUUGGUAGAGAAGAACGUUGGUGAGAGUGGAAAGCUCAUCAAGUGACGGUAACUACCCAGAAAGGGACGGCUAACUACGUG